This 21-nucleotide microRNA is filed under the name Brachypodium distachyon (stiff brome). RNAcentral's name for it is "bdi-miR7709-3p". The record is from miRBase by way of RNAcentral. Lineage: Eukaryota; Viridiplantae; Streptophyta; Magnoliopsida; Poales; Poaceae.
UGUGCCUAGUCGUACUUUGAU